This 484-nucleotide ribosomal RNA is filed under the name uncultured bacterium. RNAcentral describes it as "partial 16S ribosomal RNA". It matches the Rfam family "Bacterial small subunit ribosomal RNA", at positions 30 to 507 of the family's 1533-position model. The record is from RNAcentral.
AUUGAACGCUGGCGGCAGGCCUAACACAUGCAAGUCGAGCGGAUGAAGGGAGCUUGCUCCUGGAUUCAGCGGCGGACGGGUGAGUAAUGCCUAGGAAUCUGCCUGGUAGUGGGGGAUAACGUCCGGAAACGGGCGCUAAUACCGCAUACGUCCUGAGGGAGAAAGUGGGGGAUCUUCGGACCUCACGCUAUCAGAUGAGCCUAGGUCGGAUUAGCUAGUUGGUGGGGUAAAGGCCUACCAAGGCGACGAUCCGUAACUGGUCUGAGAGGAUGAUCAGUCACACUGGAACUGAGACACGGUCCAGACUCCUACGGGAGGCAGCAGUGGGGAAUAUUGGACAAUGGGCGAAAGCCUGAUCCAGCCAUGCCGCGUGUGUGAAGAAGGUCUUCGGAUUGUAAAGCACUUUAAGUUGGGGGGAAGGGCAGUAAGUUAAUACCUUGCUGUUUUGACGGUACCAACAGAAUAAGCACCGGCUAACUUCGUG